Molecule: non-coding RNA, 163 nt
Filed under: Anas platyrhynchos (mallard)
Lineage: Eukaryota; Metazoa; Chordata; Aves; Anseriformes; Anatidae
Description: Eukaryotic small subunit ribosomal RNA
Rfam family: Eukaryotic small subunit ribosomal RNA
Source: Rfam by way of RNAcentral
CACCUCCCAUCACUACUGUCAAUUAGAUGGUUUAGUGAGGUCCUCAAAUCAGCCCAAGCCAGGUCAGCCACGUCCUUUCUAGAGCAUCAAGAAGACAGUCAAACUUGACUAUCCAGAGAAAGUAAAAGUUGUAACAAGGUUUCCGUAGGUGAACCUGUGGAAG